This 209-nucleotide long non-coding RNA is filed under the name Erythranthe guttata (spotted monkey flower). RNAcentral describes it as "long non-coding RNA (EGUT_LNC001308)". Lineage: Eukaryota; Viridiplantae; Streptophyta; Magnoliopsida; Lamiales; Phrymaceae. The record is from RNAcentral.
UGGAAUCUUCGAGAUUAUAUGGAAUAUUAUCACUUUUGUACCCGUUUUAUCCCAUUCAAACUCUACAUUAUGAAGCAAGAUGGCCAUAAUAUGUGAUUUUUAGCUUGUAUAUAUCAGUUUGUGGUGCAUCGAAAACUGUAUUUUUUACACAAAGAGUACAAACUAGAGCACAUUUCACGGAAUCUAGAUGACUAUGUUGAAUUUAGCAC